AUGAACGCUGGCGGCGUGCCUAAUACAUGCAAGUCGAGCGAACAGACGAGGAGCUUGCUCCUCUGACGUUAGCGGCGGACGGGUGAGUAACACGUGGAUAACCUACCUAUAAGACUGGGAUAACUUCGGGAAACCGGAGCUAAUACCGGAUAAUAUAUUGAACCGCAUGGUUCAAUAGUGAAAGACGGUUUUGCUGUCACUUAUAGAUGGAUCCGCGCCGCAUUAGCUAGUUGGUAAGGUAACGGCUUACCAAGGCAACGAUGCGUAUCCGACCUGAGAGGGUGAUCGGCCACACUGGAACGGAGACACGGUCCAGACUCCUACGGGAGGCAGCAGUAGGGAAUCUUCCGCAAUGGGCGAAAGCCUGACGGAGCAACGCCGCGUGAGUGAUGAAGGUCUUCGGAUCGUAAAACUCUGUUAUUAGGGAAGAACAAAUGUGUAAGUAACUAUGCACGUCUUGACGGUACCUAAUCAGAAAGCCACGGCUAACUACGUG
This 496-nucleotide ribosomal RNA is filed under the name uncultured bacterium. Its description in RNAcentral is "partial 16S ribosomal RNA". It matches the Rfam family "Bacterial small subunit ribosomal RNA", at positions 29 to 507 of the family's 1533-position model. The record is from RNAcentral.